GAUGAACGCUGGCGGCGUGCUUAACACAUGCAAGUCGAACGAUGAAGCCCAGCUUGCUGGGUGGAUUAGUGGCGAACGGGUGAGUAACACGUGAGUAACCUGCCCUUAACUCUGGGAUAAGCCUGGGAAACUGGGUCUAAUACCGGAUAGGAGCGCCUACCGCAUGGUGGGUGUUGGAAAGAUUUAUCGGUUUUGGAUGGACUCGCGGCCUAUCAGCUUGUUGGUGAGGUAAUGGCUCACCAAGGCGACGACGGGUAGCCGGCCUGAGAGGGUGACCGGCCACACUGGGACUGAGACACGGCCCAGACUCCUACGGGAGGCAGCAGUGGGGAAUAUUGCACAAUGGGCGAAAGCCUGAUGCAGCGACGCCGCGUGAGGGAUGACGGCCUUCGGGUUGUAAACCUCCUUCAGUAGGGAAGAAGCGAAAGUGACGGUACCUGCAGAAGAAGCACCGGCUAACUACGUG
Molecule: ribosomal RNA, 466 nt
Filed under: uncultured bacterium
Lineage: Bacteria
Description: partial 16S ribosomal RNA
Rfam family: Bacterial small subunit ribosomal RNA
Source: RNAcentral